UGUGAUGUAGCUCAGUUGUAGAGCACUUGUCUACCAUGCAGGAGGCCCUGAAUUUGAUCCCUAGCACUGCAA
Molecule: transfer RNA, 72 nt
Filed under: Ictidomys tridecemlineatus (thirteen-lined ground squirrel)
Lineage: Eukaryota; Metazoa; Chordata; Mammalia; Rodentia; Sciuridae
Description: Spermophilus tridecemlineatus (thirteen-lined ground squirrel) tRNA
Rfam family: tRNA
About the family: Transfer RNA (tRNA) molecules are approximately 80 nucleotides in length. Their secondary structure includes four short double-helical elements and three loops (D, anti-codon, and T loops). Further hydrogen bonds mediate the characteristic L-shaped molecular structure. tRNAs have two regions of fundamental functional importance: the anti-codon, which is responsible for specific mRNA codon recognition, and the 3' end, to which the tRNAs corresponding amino acid is attached (by aminoacyl-tRNA synthetases). tRNAs cope with the degeneracy of the genetic code in two manners: having more than one tRNA (with a specific anti-codon) for a particular amino acid; and 'wobble' base-pairing, i.e. permitting non-standard base-pairing at the 3rd anti-codon position.
Source: Rfam by way of RNAcentral